AACGAACGCUGGCGGCAGGCCUAACACAUGCAAGUCGAGCGAGCCCUUCGGGGCUAGCGGUGGACGGGUGAGUCACGCGUGGGAACGUCCCCUUCUCUACGGAAUAGCCUCGGGAAACUGAGAGUAAUACCGUAUAAGCCCUUCGGGGGAAAGAUUUAUCGGGGAAGGAUCGGCCCGCGUUGGAUCAGGUAGUUGGUGGGGUAAUGGCCUGCCAAGCCGACGAUCCAUAGCUGGUUUGAGAGGAUGAUCAGCCACACUGGGAAGGGGACACGGCCCAGAAUCCUACGGAAGGCAGGAGUGGGUGAUCUUAGAUAAUGGGGGAAAGCCUGAUCUAGCCAUGCCGCGUGAGUGACGAAGGCCGUAGGGUCGGAAAGCGCUUUCGCUGGGGAGGAUAAUGACGGUACCCAGUAAAGAAACCCCGGCUAACUCCGUGCCAGCAGCCGCCGUAA
RNAcentral lists this ribosomal RNA (449 nucleotides) under uncultured bacterium. RNAcentral describes it as "partial 16S ribosomal RNA". It matches the Rfam family "Bacterial small subunit ribosomal RNA", at positions 29 to 523 of the family's 1533-position model. The record is from RNAcentral.